This 465-nucleotide ribosomal RNA is filed under the name Placozoa sp. ME-2010. RNAcentral's name for it is "partial 16S ribosomal RNA". The record is from RNAcentral. Lineage: Eukaryota; Metazoa; Placozoa.
AAGGGGAGGGGGACCCUACGGGUCUAGGGAAUACCCCGGAUCCGUUUUGCCCCCUGUCCCUAGCUUCAUAAUAAAAUUGUGGAGACUAUGUGGCAAAAGAAAAACAAGGGAUUUAAAAGAACGGGGGGGGGGAGGACCCUUAGGGUCCCCCCCCCGGGAUCCGAAGGGUCCGCCACGCCCCGUCCCGAUUUAUAUGAAAAACCACUCUUUUUAUUAAGAUUACUGUCUAACACCGUACAAGUAAGAUAGUUUGGUUGGGGCGACCGCCUUCGAAAAAGUAUCGAAGGCGCACAUAAGAUUAAUCAGGAGAAGGAUCCGAAGGAUCUUUUUCUCGGGGGCAAUGUCCCAAAAAAAGGAGAUUAAUUUGACUGAGAGGGCAACAACCCGAACAGACGUCAAAGGAUAGACCGGGGGGGGAAUCCUACAGAUUCCUUCCCCCCCUUCUUUUGGCGGGUCAUAGUGAUC